GACGAACGCUGGCGGCGUGCUUAACACAUGCAAGUCGAACGGAAAGGCCCUGCUUUUGUGGGGUGCUCGAGUGGCGAACGGGUGAGUAACACGUGAGUAACCUGCCCUUGACUUUGGGAUAACUUCAGGAAACUGGGGCUAAUACCGGAUAGGAGCUCCUGCUGCAUGGUGGGGGUUGGAAAGUUUCGGCGGUUGGGGAUGGACUCGCGGCUUAUCAGCUUGUUGGUGGGGUAGUGGCUUACCAAGGCUUUGACGGGUAGCCGGCCUGAGAGGGUGACCGGCCACAUUGGGACUGAGAUACGGCCCAGACUCCUACGGGAGGCAGCAGUGGGGAAUAAUGCACAAUGGGCGGAAGCCUGAUGCAGCAACGCCGCGUGCGGGAUGACGGCCUUCGGGGUGUAAACCGCUUUCGCCUGUGACGAAGCGUGAGUGACGGUAAUGGGUAAAGAAGCACCGGCUAACUACGUG
This 468-nucleotide ribosomal RNA is filed under the name uncultured bacterium. RNAcentral's name for it is "partial 16S ribosomal RNA". It matches the Rfam family "Bacterial small subunit ribosomal RNA", at positions 28 to 507 of the family's 1533-position model. The record is from RNAcentral.